Molecule: ribosomal RNA, 788 nt
Filed under: uncultured Lactobacillus sp.
Lineage: Bacteria; Bacillati; Bacillota; Bacilli; Lactobacillales; Lactobacillaceae
Description: bacterial SSU rRNA
Rfam family: Bacterial small subunit ribosomal RNA
Source: RNAcentral
GACGAACGCUGGCGGCGUGCCUAAUACAUGCAGGUCGAGCGAGCUUGCCUAGAUGAAUUUGGUGCUUGCACCAGAUGAAACUAGAUACAAGCGAGCGGCGGACGGGUGAGUAACACGUGGGUAACCUGCCCAAGAGACUGGGAUAACACCUGGAAACAGAUGCUAAUACCGGAUAACAACACUAGACGCAUGUCUAGAGUUUAAAAGAUGGUUCUGCUAUCACUCUUGGAUGGACCUGCGGUGCAUUAGCUAGUUGGUAAGGUAACGGCUUACCAAGGCAAUGAUGCAUAGCCGAGUUGAGAGACUGAUCGGCCACAUUGGGACUGAGACACGGCCCAAACUCCUACGGGAGGCAGCAGUAGGGAAUCUUCCACAAUGGACGCAAGUCUGAUGGAGCAACGCCGCGUGAGUGAAGAAGGGUUUCGGCUCGUAAAGCUCUGUUGGUAGUGAAGAAAGAUAGAGGUAGUAACUGGCCUUUAUUUGACGGUAAUUACUUAGAAAGUCACGGCUAACUACGUGCCAGCAGCCGCGGUAAUACGUAGGUGGCAAGCGUUGUCCGGAUUUAUUGGGCGUAAAGCGAGUGCAGGCGGUUCAAUAAGUCUGAUGUGAAAGCCUUCGGCUCAACCGGAGAAUUGCAUCAGAAACUGUUGAACUUGAGUGCAGAAGAGGAGAGUGGAACUCCAUGUGUAGCGGUGGAAUGCGUAGAUAUAUGGAAGAACACCAGUGGCGAAGGCGGCUCUCUGGUCUGCAACUGACGCUGAGGCUCGAAAGCAUGGGUAGCGAACAGG